This 228-nucleotide ribosomal RNA is filed under the name bacterium. Its description in RNAcentral is "partial 16S ribosomal RNA". It matches the Rfam family "Bacterial small subunit ribosomal RNA", at positions 554 to 782 of the family's 1533-position model. The record is from RNAcentral.
CUGGGCGUAAGCGCGCGUAGGUGGUUCGUUAAGUUGGAUGUGAAAUCCCCGGGCUCAACCUGGGAACUGCAUCCAAAACUGGCGAGCUAGAGUAUGGUAGAGGGUGGUGGAAUUUCCUGUGUAGCGGUGAAAUGCGUAGAUAUAGGAAGGAACACCAGUGGCGAAGGCGACCACCUGGACUGAUACUGACACUGAGGUGCGAAAGCGUGGGGAGCAAACAGGAUUAGA